GAUUAAAAUAUUAAGUUGACUCUGCUCAAUGAAUUAAUUAAAUAGCUGCAGUAUCUUAACUGUACAAAGGUAGCAUAAUAAUUUGUUUUUUAAAUGAAAACUAGAAUGAAUGAGGUGAUGAAAUAAAAACUUUAUUAAAUUUAAUUUUAGAAUUUAAAUUUAAAGUAAAAAUUCUUUAAUAAAUUUAUGGGACGAGAAGACCCUAUAGAAUUUAAUAUAUAAUAAAUUUUUAAUAAAUUUAUGAAUAUAUUUGUUUGGGAGGAAUAUUAAAUUUUAAAACUUUAAUUUAUAAUAUACAUUUAUAUAUGAAUUUAAUAGAUUUUAAAUUUUUAAAUUAAAGAUUAAAUUACCUUAGGGAUAACAGCGUAAUAAUAUUUUAUAGUUCUUAUUGAAAAUAUUGUUU
This 403-nucleotide ribosomal RNA is filed under the name Epyris sp. RNAcentral describes it as "partial large subunit ribosomal RNA". Lineage: Eukaryota; Metazoa; Arthropoda; Insecta; Hymenoptera; Bethylidae. The record is from RNAcentral.